UAAUUUGUGAACUAUAUUGAUUUUUCUCCUUAAUGUGGGAAACAUGCGUUGAAGAAGGUGAAUAUGUACACGGUGCACACUAAAUAACAAACAGUUUGUAAGAAGUCAUUAGCAAAUGUUCCUCGUCAGUGACUGCUAGCCUACGGAGCCUACUUGUCUGCCGGGUACGUAGGAAUAUAUAAUGAAUAACCCGGAUAUGUAAAAUCGUUUUUGUCUUAGGCGUCUGGGCUAUUGAUUCGUCCACCCCUGAUGCGAUAUGGAUAAUCUUGCGUUAAUGGUUCUUAGAUAUGGAACAGGUUCUAAAAUUACCCUCCAGUCUCUCUUGCCUUAGCGUCACUUCCCCGAUUGUUUGCUUUCAGUCUGGAGUUGGAAACACUUUCUCAUCCAAUGACCUGCUCCUUUUGCUCUUAGUAAGGCUCAUACCUCUGUGAUGUUUCAGACCUUUCUGCUGUGGAAAUACUAUUAUUGUCUUCAUAAUAACAUGUGGGUGAUGAUCGACCCAUACUCCUCAAUAAUGGUGUGAUACACGUUGGCUGCAGCAUCUCUGAAAACGCUCCAGUCGGUCAGAUCGGACUUUAUUCUUUACAAAGGCGUUAAACCCGGAGGCGUCAACAUCGCUAACAAGAAAAUCGUAGCAGGCGAAAAGAAUAAACAGGACGUCAUUGCAAUAAAUCUAGUUACGUAGGUGUUAAAAGCUUUUAGGUAUGUAAAGUACUUUGUGUGUGAAAUGCCUGAUAAUUCAAUCAAACAAGCAGUCUUGUUUGUUUUUUGUUUUUUUAAUUGGCUCACAAGAUGCAAGGCCAUGAAUUCACCAAUCAAAAUUCACCUAGACACAAUGUCAGAACAGAGAGAGAACGCGCGCCUGUCCCGUCCUUUCCCCUUCAGUGAACUGGCUUUUCCACCUGGUGGAUGUGAUUUGCAUUUGAUUUCUUCUGAAACAACAGCAUACUAUUUUUUUUCCUUCUUUUUGUCCCAAUCAUGUACAACAGUAUAAUAGUAUCCACUAGACCAUUACAGUUUCCCUUAAAAGCAAUACAAUUCCCGUUAUAACCAUUACAAAUUCUAUAACGGUUUUUAUUGGGGUUUUUGUUGUUGUUGAGUUUUUUAAGCUGUAUUAUCUAUUCCAGCGACUGAUUUUGACGUGUGUGUAUUGCUCUAUUGCUACGAAAUGUAUCAAGAAAAAAGGACACAUCUAAGGAAUGUUCCGCUAUCUGGACUUCAUUUUAUAUGUAGUACCUUCACACACUACAGUACAGAGAUAUACCACCGUCACUGGAUUUGGUUUCCACUGUGUAUAAAUAAAUGGCUCUUACGUGAUUACCUCCUCUGUUGUGCCUUUCAUUCAGCCGGUAAAAAUAGAAUGAAAAGACUUUCUCACUGUGUAAAUGGGGAAUUCAAUAUCUACAUUUAAAAGCUUAAAUGUCUGGUGAGGUAGGUUUUUUUUAAAAAUAUAUCUUAGCAAAACAAAAAAAACAAAAAAAACCCACACAAGCUCCAAACUGCUCAGCUGGACUCGCCACAUGAAAGUGUCUGAUCAUUUAGCACCGUGGCUCAUUGUGUUUUUGAGGGAAACAAAGGGCUUAAAAUACGACAAACGCUGAACAUGUGAAACACACAGCCAGGCUGUAAGCGUAAUAAGAUCUGUUCGCUGUCUUUCUUCAUAUCUUUGAGCAACACGUCGUCCUAUGGAGGAUGUAUUUCAGAAUGAGUUUGCAUGAGCAUUUAUGUGUAUUUAUUUGGUGUAUUAUUUGACUUAUCUCUACACAGCAGCUGCUGGAGUAUUAGACCAUGAGGCAGGACCACAGAGGACCAGUGAUGACACUUCUGGGUCCUGAACUCACAGUGGUCAGCUGCCUGUUUGUCUUUGUCCAGCAGUGCGCGGACUCGCUUGUGGAUGCUGGCUGAGGAACAAGACGCAGAAGGAAUUCUUGAUCUGGCACUGGUGGAGCAGUUCAUCACAUGCCUCCCAACCGGGCCUCUACGGGAUCAGUGUUCCAUCAAGCUGCCUGCACUGGGUCAGGAGGACACGGGGAGUGGGGAGUGGGGAGUGGGGAGGGAUUUUCCUUUGGAGCAGUUGCGUGUAGAGACCCUGUGACACCCUGAUGUUCGCAGGUGGUAUGCGGCAUGUCGUAAAUGCCAGCCAGCCCAAAAACACCACUGUACCAUCUUCCAUUUGAAAGGAUGGACCUCGUCAGACACCCACACAGAGCGACCGAGAGAGAGAGAGAGAGAGAGACACACACAAAGAGUGAGACAGAGAGAGAGAGACACAGAAAGAGAGAGACGCACACAAAGAGCGAGACAGAGAGAGAGAGGCAUACACAAAGAGAAACAGAGAGAGACACAGCGAGAGACACACACACAAAGAGUCAGACUGAGUGAGAGACACAGAGAGAGACACACACACAAACACAAAGAGUGAGACUGCGAGAGAGAGGCACACACACAAAGAGUGAGACUGAGAGAGAGACAGAGAGAGACACACACACAAACACAAAGAGUGAGACUGCGAGAGAGAGGCACACACACAAAGAGUGAGACUGAGAGAGAGACAGAGAGAGACACACACACACAAACACAAAGAAGUGAGACUGCGAGAGAGAGGCACACACACAAAGAGUGAGACUGAGAGAGAGACAGAGAGAGACACACACACACAAACACAAAGAGUGAGACCGCGAGAGAGAGGCACACACACAAAGAGUGAGACUGAGAGAGAGACACAGAGAGAGACACACACACACAAACACAAAGAGUGAGACCGCGAGAGAGAGGCACACACACAAAGAGUGAGACUGAGAGAGAGACACAGAGAGAGACACACACACACACACAUAGAGAGAGACUGAGACAGAGAGAGAGAGACAGAGAGUUAAUCACGAAUGGUUCUUAUAAUCUCUUGUCUAUAUGAAGCCGUUAUCGAGUCUUCUCCGGACGCAGUGCGGAGCGCUGCGUGUGUAAACUCGUGUCCAACCGCAGCUGUUGGUCUCGUAACUCAUUAGCGCAGCUUCUAAACGAGCUGUUAUACAUGGUCUCAGAGUUCUGAGCACGCGCCUGUGUUGGAGAAGGUAAUUAACUGCGUUUUACCCGUGCGUGUAAGACUAGCACCAGGAGCGACAGUGACGAUGUGAUGAUCUCUGGCUCUGUGAGGAGGCGUGAUGACUCAGCUGUUCACGCUCUGUGUGUGUGUGUGUGCUGUGAGUGCUGUGUGAAGGUUAACCACGAAGACCAAGCGCUGCAGGGAUUCUGAAUCCGCCGCAGGUUUCCCAGGUUUCCGAUGCGGCUGCUGAACGCGGCAGGGGGUCGUGCUGGAGUUUCUGCUGGACUCGGAGCGGUGUCAGGGUUACCAAGCGCUCUCUUUCUUCACAGUCUGCGUCGUUUCUUUGUUUUUGUCUUGUUUUCUCUUCGGCUCUGACCUAGUAAAGAUUUGUGUGUGUAAAAAAAAAAAAAAAAAAAAAAAAACGUGAAAAUUUCAUAAUAAAAGUACAUGUUUAUUUAGUAACAGGGUUUCUGAACAAUUGCAGGUGCAAAGUUUCCGGGGGUAACUGUUAGUCUGUAGUCUGUAGUUGUUGUUUAUUUGUUAUAUAUAUAUAUAUAUAUGUAUAUAUAUGUAUUGUUAAUCAGUCCCUCCAGGAUGUAGCGAUUUUUGCGAUCGCCGAAAUGAACACAAAAUCAAGCGAAUGCAACAACACGCUUGCGAUUUCUCAAAAUUUCCGUGGACUUUCCGCAGAUUCGGGCCAAAAUGCGCCAUGUGACGUCAUCACAACACGCGUUCAUCCCAAGCCCUUUUCGGAAUACAGCUAAACAAGAAUACAGCUAAAAGCUCUCGUUUACCGACGAGCAUCGAGGGGUUUUAAAUUAAAUUUUAAAUUUUAAAAUUUUUCUCCGAAAAGCGCAACAAAAUCGGACGUUUCUUUCGGCCGCAAGGAUCAGAGAGGAACAAUUUCCUAGGACUGCUCCUAAUAGGAAGCACCGUGUUUUUGCAAACAUUAAAUGUAACUGCAAACGGAUAAAAAGUCGUACUCGUUGACAAAUGGCGGCGGUGUUAUAAGACGAAUAACACACUACACGACAUGCUUUUAUUGGAAAUAAUCAACUUCAGGGUGUUAACAAUGACACAACUUCAUCCGUGAUUAUUUUCCUAUAACAGCACAACCCCAAGCACGUUGCUCGUAACUGAGGUGAAUUCCAAUCGUACUGUAAGGAGAUAUUGAUAAAUGUGUGUGUGUGUGUGGGUGUGUGGAGUGUUAGGUUUUUGUCGCACAAGUUUUUAUCGGUAUUUUUGAUUCAGAUGAAUUUCCUCGACGAAGCCGUAGUGCUGACCGAAAGCAUUCGGGUUACGCGCUGCUGUUGUCAGCGGCGUGAAAGAGAUUAAUCACGGCGCUUUGUUUCUUUUCGUUAUCCCAGUCAGCGAACCGACUCGCGCUGACGUGGCCGUGUCUGAUUGCUCGGACGCGUCCAGAGGACCUGACGCUGCGUUUUUGGGCUUCCGUUAUUACGCGGUCGCAGAAGUAAGACGACUAAAAGAAUGGAGCGCUUCCUGUCGAACGCAUUUGUAAAUAUUAUAUUUGACAACAUUUGACACCAAUAAAAUACAAAUGUAAAAAAAAAAAAAAAAAAAAACAUAAUUAUUUCUCUCUCAUUCUUUGUUCUGUCUUUGAACCAGAAAGGAAAAUAUAUAUAUAAAUAAAUAAAUAGUAUACACACACACACACACACACACACACAUCCACCUGUCUUUCUCUUUUCCUUCCUCGCUAUUUCACACCUUUGGAAGUGCAGGGAUUAUUUAUAGUAUCCUUUAAAUGCGCCACCUGAAGUCAACGAGAGUGAAAUUCCCAAUCCGGUACUACAGUGAGAAUGAAAGAGUGCACACGUAGCUGUCCUGCUAGAACACACCACACUAAAGGCUUUAACGGCGUAUUUACACCCUGUGUUCAAUCUCACGAUCUCAUUACGUCCUCCGGUGUUUCCGAUCUCAGGACAUUUUUAUCGGUACCCCCACACACACACACACACACAAGGCGUGGCCGAACACGAAUACAGAGCGAUCCACGCUCGUUAUAUCGUGUUUCCUGGAGACAAUGUGCAAAUGUAUGAGACUUUUCAUUGACGAUUAUUUCGAUACUUUGUAAAUCCCUCUCACAAACGCAUGACAGCUUGUUUAUGGUGAUUAGGCGUCUAUGCUUAGCGUUGUUAUGACUUCGUUCACAUUAGAAGUUUUACGUAUACACACACACACACACACACACACACACACACACACACAAAAAAAAAAAAGCCUCCUUCAUAUGUUCUUUGUGUUCGGGUAUACUUUUCGGGAAUUUAGGCAGGACCCAACAGCAGAGGGUUUUCCUGACAGAUCCAGUGGACUGUUAUUUUGGAUGAGUGUGUGUAUUAAAGGGGUAAGUGUGUGUCCCUACACUGUGUCCCUACACUGUGUCCCUACAUUGUGUCCCUACACUGUGUCCCUUCACUGUGUCCCUACACUGUGUCCCUUCACUGUGUCCCUUCACUGUGUCCCUACACUGUGUCCCUUCACUGUGUCCCUUCACUGUGUCCCUUCACUGUGUCCCUACACUGUGUCCCU
Molecule: long non-coding RNA, 5590 nt
Organism: Ictalurus punctatus (channel catfish)
Lineage: Eukaryota; Metazoa; Chordata; Actinopteri; Siluriformes; Ictaluridae
Source: Ensembl